This 268-nucleotide ribosomal RNA is filed under the name Eucampia antarctica. RNAcentral's name for it is "partial Bacterial small subunit ribosomal RNA". It matches the Rfam family "Bacterial small subunit ribosomal RNA", at positions 545 to 812 of the family's 1533-position model. The record is from RNAcentral. Lineage: Eukaryota; Bacillariophyta; Thalassiosirophyceae; Eucampiales; Eucampiaceae.
UCGGAAUUACUGGGCGUAAAGCGCACGCAGGCGGUUUGUUAAGCUAGAUGUGAAAGCCCCGGGCUCAACCUGGGAAUAGCAUUUAGAACUGGCAGACUAGAGUCUUGGAGAGGGGAGUGGAAUUUCUGGUGUAGCGGUGAAAUGCGUAGAUAUCAGAAGGAACAUCAGUGGCGAAGGCGACUCCCUGGCCAAAGACUGACGCUCAUGUGCGAAAGUGUGGGUAGCGAACAGGAUUAGAUACCCUGGCAGUCCACGCCGUAAACGAUGU